AUAGCGUAUAUUAAAGUUGUUGCAGUUAAAAAGCUCGUAGUUGAAUUUUGGGCCUGGCCAGUCGGUCUGCCUCACCGCAUGUACUGGUUUGGCCGGGCCUUUUCUUCUGGGAACCUUCAUGCCCUUUACUGGGUGUGUCAGGGUACCAGGACUUUUACUUUGAAAAAAUUAGAGUGUUCAAAGCAGGCAUUAGCUCGAAUACAUUAGCAUGGAAUAAUAGAAUAGGACGUGGGGUUCUAUUUUGUUGGUUUCUAGGACCACCGUAAUGAUUAAUAGGGAUAGUCGGGGGCAUCAGUAUUCAAUCGUCAGAGGUGAAAUUCUUGGAUCGAUUGAAGACUAACUACUG
RNAcentral lists this ribosomal RNA (346 nucleotides) under Boudiera acanthospora. RNAcentral's name for it is "SSU rRNA". It matches the Rfam family "Eukaryotic small subunit ribosomal RNA", at positions 594 to 945 of the family's 1831-position model. The record is from RNAcentral. Lineage: Eukaryota; Fungi; Ascomycota; Pezizomycetes; Pezizales; Pezizaceae.